GACGAACCGAGCGAACGUUGUUCGGAAUCACUGGGCUUAAAGGGCGCGUAGGCGGGUGCUCAAGUCUGUGGUGAAAUCCUCCAGCUUAACUGGAGAACUGCCAUGGAUACUGGGUGUCUCGAGGAACGUAGGGGUAUGCGGAACGAUUGGUGGAGCGGUGAAAUGCGUUGAUAUCAAUCGGAACUCCGGUGGCGAAGGCGGCAUACUGGACGUUUUCUGACGCUGAGGCGCGAAAGCCAGGGGAGCAAACGGG
RNAcentral lists this ribosomal RNA (253 nucleotides) under uncultured bacterium. Its description in RNAcentral is "partial 16S ribosomal RNA". It matches the Rfam family "Bacterial small subunit ribosomal RNA", at positions 524 to 776 of the family's 1533-position model. The record is from RNAcentral.